AACCAGGAGAUAGCUCGUUCUCUCCGAAAUGCAUCUAGGUGCAGCCUUGAGUGUUCAAUUAUGGGGGUAGAGCACUGAAUGAUCUAGGGGGCAUAUUGCUUACUGAAAUCAAUCAAACUCCGAAUACCAUAAUUUAUAGCUCAGGAGUGAGACUAUGGGAGUUAACUUCCAUUGUCAAAAGGGAAACAACCCAGACCACCAGCUAAGGUCCCUAAUUAUAACUAAGUGGGAAAGGAGGUGGAGAUUCACAAACAACUAGGAGGUUGGCUUAGAAGCAGCCAUACCUUUAAAGAGUGCGUAAUAGCUCACUAGUCGAGAGUCUCUGCGCCGACAAUGUAACGGGGCUAAGUUAUAAACCGAAGCUGUGGAAUCCUUUUGGAUUGGUAGGAGAGCGUUCUGUAGGCCGUUGAAGAAGAAGGGUAACCAACUUUGGAGGUAUCAGAAGUGAGAAUGCAGGAAUAAGUAGCGAGAAAGGGGGCGAGAAUCCCCCUCGCCGGAAGACCAAGGUUUUCAGGGUAAAGCUUGUCUUCCCUGAGUAAGCCGGGACCUAAGCCCAGGCUAUAAUGCGUAGGCGAAUGGAAAACAGAUUAAUAUUUCUGUGCCAGUCAUGUAUUGUGAUGGAGGGACGCAGAAGGGUAUGCGCGCGGACGAACGGAAGUGUCCGUAGAAGUAUGUAGGGUGACUUAGUAGGUAAAUCCAUUAAGUUAUAUCUGAGGUAUGAUAUACAGUCGUAAGAUGAAUGCGCAAAUCCCACGCUGCCAAGAAAAGCUUCUAACGUUAAUAUAUGACUGCCCGUACUGUAAACCGACACAGGUGGUCAGGAUGAGAAAUCUAAGGCGGACAGGCUAACUCUCGUUAAGGAACUCUGCAAAAUAACCUCGUAACUUCGGGAGAAGAGGAGCCCUUGGGUGUUAGUAUCCAUGCGAUACAAAGCGCUCGAGGGUCGCAGUGAAGAGGCUCAAGCAACUGUUUAACAAAAACACAGGUCUAUGCUAAGCUGAAAGGCGACGUAUAUGGGCUGACACCUGCCCAGUGCCGGAAGGUUAAGAGGAGGAUUGAGAGAUUCGAAUUGAAGCCCCGGUGAACGGCGGCCGUAACUAUAACGGUCCUAAGGUAGCGAAAUUCCUUGUCGGGUAAG
RNAcentral lists this ribosomal RNA (1138 nucleotides) under human oral metagenome. RNAcentral's name for it is "bacterial LSU rRNA". It matches the Rfam family "Bacterial large subunit ribosomal RNA", at positions 836 to 1980 of the family's 2925-position model. The record is from RNAcentral.